Non-coding RNA from Chelonia mydas (Green sea turtle), 72 nucleotides. The record is from Rfam. NCBI's taxonomy places the organism in Eukaryota, Metazoa, Chordata, Testudines, Cheloniidae.
GGUUCUGUGGUGUAAUGGGCAGCACUUUGGACUUUGAAUCCAAUGAUCUGAGUUCAAAUCUCAGUAGAACCA